UCCCUCUCAUUGUCACACUUGUAGCAGUUGCUAAAUAGUCCCACAUCAAGACCACAAUCACCGCCCCUCCUCCAAAGUCACAAACUCCUCUCUCUGUCUCUCUCUAAAAUGCCCAUAAACCACUACCCCUCAGACCUCCCCCAAUCACUCUGGUGGAUACACCCCCAACAACCCCUCAUGGACCCAACAACUCCCAUUAAACCCUCAGACCACCACCGAACCGCCGCCAACGCCGCCUCCCCAUUCUCCGCCCCUCUCAAUUUCAACCUCAACCAAUACAACGACGAGUUCGACAGCUCUCUCGACAGAGAAUCUGAGAGCCCCGACAAGCGGCAAUUGCGAAUCGGCAACGACCAAUUCAAUCUGGACGUGAUAAAAGAGCCGAUGUUCGAGAAGCCGCUGACGCCGAGCGACGUGGGGAAGCUGAACAGGCUGGUGAUCCCGAAGCAGCACGCCGAGAAGCACUUCCCGCUGGGAUCGGGCGGGGGCGGAGGGAGCGGAGACUCGGGGGGGCUGCUGCUGAGUUUCGAGGACGAGUCGGGGAAGUCGUGGAGGUUCCGGUACUCGUACUGGAACAGCAGCCAGAGCUACGUGCUGACCAAGGGAUGGAGCCGCUUCGUCAAGGAGAAGCGGCUCGACGCGGGGGACGUCGUCUUGUUCCUGCGCCACCGGGUCGACGCCGACCGGCUUUUCAUAGGGUGGAGGCGGCGGGGGGCGGCGCCGGGUCAAGUACUGGUGGCGGGUGGGAGUGGGGCGGGAGUGAAUAGUGGAGGUGGGGGUAGUGGGUGGGGCCGCCGCGUGUACUAUUCUGCGCAUGCUUAUCCUGUGCACCCACAGCCAGCUCCUCAUGGAAAUGGGCCUUGUUUUCCCUACCAACCUGACUGUCUUCAUGCAGGAGCAGGUGGGCAGAACCAAACGUCGUCCUCUAGCAAAAACUCCAAGACACUAAGGUUAUUUGGGGUGAACAUGGAGUGCCACCAGCAGCCGCCGUCGCUGCUGCCAGAUGAGUCCGAGCCAUCCACACCAGAUGGUUCAUCGACAUCGAGCCAGGGCGGUCAACCCCACUACUACCACUACUCCACCAACCUACCUCAUCCUUCUAGUUCUAACCACAUGGAAUCCUGGUCUUAGGGUAACCCCAUGUGCUAAGAUGCAUUUUUCCACCCCACUUGAGAACAUUUCACAACUGUGUGAAAGGAAUUGGGGACACUUGCACAAGAAAAGAAAGGGGAAGAAACAGUGCAUGAUUGCUUUACAUUGGCACAUAAAUCUACAUCAGUACUAUGUGGGGGGCCAUCAGAUCAUCGACCAUGCUGAGAGAUAGAUGACUUUUGCUGGGUCUCGCUAAUCAGUGUGGUCCUGCCUUCCUAGCUAGCCAGCUAGAGAUAUGUAUUGGAGCCCAUAAAGUCAACAAUGGAAUUCAAGCAGAAGGCACAGGAUACCAACUACUUAAGAGGUGUCAACCAGAUGAGAUAUCACCAAGGAUGAAGAUCUGUGGAUGUGACUUUCAUGAUUUUUGACUAUUUAAGGCACUUGGAAUGUCCACUAUAAAAAAAAAAAAGAGAAAAGAAAAGAAAAAAAGAAGGGGAAAUGGAAGUCCAAAAAAAUGGGGAAAAUCCCAGAUUUUCAGGCAGCUCCCUCAUUAAGAAAAAUGGUUAUAUCACCAUCAUAUCAUCAAAGCCCCCAGGGUUAAGGUGUGUGCGAGAGUGAGAGAGAGAGAGAGA
RNA transcript from Rhododendron vialii, 1724 nucleotides. It is a transcript of the gene named B3 domain-containing protein At2g36080-like, with no coding region annotated. Lineage: Eukaryota; Viridiplantae; Streptophyta; Magnoliopsida; Ericales; Ericaceae. The record is from RefSeq and is a predicted model, not a curated record. The transcript has 4 exons.